CGCGGGCCCGGCUCGCGCCGCUCCCUCAGGUGACGCAGCCCCCGCCCCGAGGUACCUGCGCGGGGCCGGCUCGCGCCGCUCCCUGAGGUGACGCAGCCCCCGCCCCGAGGUACCUGCGCGGGCCCGGCUCGCGCCGCUCCCUGAGGUGACGCAGCCCCCGCCCCGAGGUACCUGCGCGGGGCCGGCUCGCGCCGCUCCCUGAGGUGAC
Long non-coding RNA from Gopherus flavomarginatus (Mexican gopher tortoise), 208 nucleotides. RefSeq lists it as uncharacterized. The record is from RefSeq and is a predicted model, not a curated record. NCBI's taxonomy places the organism in Eukaryota, Metazoa, Chordata, Testudines, Testudinidae. The transcript has 3 exons.